This 513-nucleotide ribosomal RNA is filed under the name uncultured bacterium. RNAcentral describes it as "bacterial SSU rRNA". It matches the Rfam family "Bacterial small subunit ribosomal RNA", at positions 40 to 518 of the family's 1533-position model. The record is from RNAcentral.
CGGCGCACAUAAGACAUGCAAGUCGAACGGAAGUCGUGUAAUGAUAGUGAAACGAACAGAGAACUUGUCAAAGGGAAUGGAGAUUGACUUACAACAAUGGCUUAGUGGCGGACUGGUGAGUAAUGUAUAAGCAACCUGCCUAUUAGAGGGGAACAACAGUUAGAAAUGACUGCUAAUACCGCAUAUGCCAUAAGGGAGACAUCUUCCAAGUGGGAAAGGAGAAAUCCGCUAAUAGAUGGGCUUAUAUCUGAUUAGUUAGUUGGUGGGGUAACGGCCUACCAAGACGGCGAUCAGUAGCCGAACUGAGAGGUUAAACGGCCACAUUGGGACUGAGAUACGGCCCAGACUCCUACGGGAGGCAGCAGUCGGGAAUAUUGCGCAAUGGAGGAAACUCUGACGCCAGUGACGCCGCGUGCAGGAAGAAGGUUUUCGGAUUGUAAACUGCUUUAGACAGGGAAGAAAAAAGACAGUACCUGUAGAAUAAGCUCCGGCUAACUACGUGCCAGCAGCAGC